RNAcentral lists this ribosomal RNA (292 nucleotides) under uncultured bacterium. RNAcentral's name for it is "partial 16S ribosomal RNA". It matches the Rfam family "Bacterial small subunit ribosomal RNA", at positions 505 to 796 of the family's 1533-position model. The record is from RNAcentral.
GUGUCAGCAGCCGCGGUAAGACAGAGGGUGCAAACGUUGCUCGGAAUUACUGGGCGUAAAGCGCGUGUAGGCGGACCACCAAGUCAGGCGUGAAAUCCCUGGGCUCAACCCAGGAACUGCACCUGAAACUGGCGGUCUUGAGUGGUGGAGAGGGAAGCAGAAUUCCUGGUGUAGAGGUGAAAUUCGUAGAUAUCAGGAGGAACACCGGUGGCGAAGGCGGCUUCCUGGACACUAACUGACGCUGAGACGCGAAAGCGUGGGGAGCAAACAGGAUUAGAAACCCCCGUAGUCC